RNAcentral lists this ribosomal RNA (476 nucleotides) under uncultured bacterium. RNAcentral's name for it is "partial 16S ribosomal RNA". It matches the Rfam family "Bacterial small subunit ribosomal RNA", at positions 28 to 505 of the family's 1533-position model. The record is from RNAcentral.
GAUGAACGCUGGCGGCGUGCUUAACACAUGCAAGUCGAACGGGAAACCUUUUAUUGAAGCUUCGGCAGAUUUAGCUGGGUUCUAGUGGCGGACGGGAGAGUAACGCGUGGGUAACCUGCCUUAUACAGGGGGAUAACAACCAGAAAUGGUUGCUAAUACCGCAUAAGCGCACAGGACCGCAUGGUCCGGUGUGAAAAACUCCGGUGGUAUAAGAUGGACCCGCGUUGGAUUAGCUAGUUGGCAGGGUAACGGCCUACCAAGGCGACGAUCCAUAGCCGGCCUGAGAGGGUGAACGGCCACCUUGGGACUGAGACACGGCCCAGUCUCCUACGGUAGGCAGCAGUGGGGAAUAGUGCACCCGGGGGGAAACACUGAGGCAGCGAGGCGUCGUGAAGGAAGAUGUAUCUCGGUAUGUAACCUUCUAUCAGCAGGGAAGAUUGUGACUGUACCUGACUAAGACGCCCCGGCUAACUACG